This 498-nucleotide long non-coding RNA is filed under the name Helianthus annuus (common sunflower). RNAcentral's name for it is "hypothetical non coding rna". The record is from RNAcentral. Lineage: Eukaryota; Viridiplantae; Streptophyta; Magnoliopsida; Asterales; Asteraceae.
UUUAUUUUCGAAUAUUACAUUAGAGAGAGAAAGGGAAGGAGGGGGAGCCGACGCCGGCCGACCUACCCGAUCCGACAAUUAUGACCGGCACCGAUUCAUACUAAUAGUUGACACUAAGUUAUCGCUCUUAUUUAUCGCCGUUACGGUCGCCAUCGCUGCCCACAGUUUAUGGUUUUGGGUUGCUAUACAUGUUUUGCUGCUUUGUGUACAAAAUAAAAGGUGUAGACUGGAGGAUCGUGUACAUGGUGAAAAAUCUAAUCCUACAUAGCAAGAAUUUGCAGAAGUUGAGGUAUGUGUAUAGUUUCGUCAGUUGCCUGUUGUUCAUAGUUUCAUAACUGCAGUAAUGGUGGCCUACACUUUGCUUCGAGGCGUUGGUAGAUCUAAAACAAACCACCCGUCUCUGUUUCUUCACAUUACAGACGAUACUACUGCCCCUAUUUUCAUCUAAAAUUAACACCAAAACCCUGUCAACAACUCUCUUUCAAGGUACUUUUUCCU